AUCUUUUUCACAAUUUAUUAGUUUCUAUAUAUAUAACAACUUAUUAAUUAUGUUACAAUUACUUUGUGUGAAAAUUUUAGAAAUCCUUAUUUUUAUUGAUAUAAUAUAAUGUUUGUUAGCCUACUUUUCUAACUUUUUUCUUAAUUUUUUCUAUUUCUUAACGUAGAUUUGACAAUUUUUUCAUGUGAAUUAGGAUAAGAGAAUAAAAGAGAGACCUCUAUGUCAUUGUUGCAUCUUUGAUGCUCAAGAAGUCUAUGAAAAGUGACAAUUUAUGUAAGUAUAUAUCUUUGAGUGCAUUUCCACUAUAUAUGUUAUUAUUCAUAAUACCAUAUUUUUACUUACUA
Molecule: long non-coding RNA, 344 nt
Filed under: Trifolium pratense (red clover)
Lineage: Eukaryota; Viridiplantae; Streptophyta; Magnoliopsida; Fabales; Fabaceae
Description: long non-coding RNA (TPRA_LNC014364)
Source: RNAcentral